UUCAUUGGCUAUCAACUUACAAGGCAGAUGGAAGACAGCAAGCAUGAGUGCUAGUGCUGGGCUAAACAUCAAUUGCAAGUGAUCUUUAAGAAAGGAGUAAAUUCCUCAAGGAGAAAGCUCUUUCACGGAAGCCAGGCUAGGCUUCCAUCCAGCAAGCAACCCCAGCCGGCAUCUCUCCGGCCUCUUGAUGGGUGGCAUGAAGGGCUUCUGAAUAUCUCGUUCAACUCCAUUUUCAAACCUCUUGGAAAGACAAUCUGACCACUUCUCCUUUGAAACAUAGAAAUCCUUGGCAGAACAGACAGACUCUUCUGAAACUCCAUCACCCUCUUCUCCUUCCACCUUGUCUAGAACUGUCUCCUUUGCAUCCCCAUCUCCUCUUAAUCUGCAGGGAUUUUUCUCCUGAGUUUCGUGACAGUCGACCUGGGUACGAGAUAGAACUUCUGGCCUGGAAGCAGCCUUUCCUUGGGGCCAACAAGGGACUCAUGUGGCUUUUUGAAGACCUCCGGCCGGGCAACGCACAAGCCUGGAUGCUUCUCCAUCACCAAAUAAGCCGGGACUGCAGCUGAAUAGAGUUCAACUAUUCCACCAGCUAGAACUAUC
RNAcentral lists this long non-coding RNA (600 nucleotides) under Phoenix dactylifera (date palm). RNAcentral describes it as "long non-coding RNA (PDAC_LNC006723)". Lineage: Eukaryota; Viridiplantae; Streptophyta; Magnoliopsida; Arecales; Arecaceae. The record is from RNAcentral.